GAAGUCGGCCGCUCAACCGACUGAGCCACCCAGGCGCCACAAAAGUUGUUAGGUUUCUGACCACACAUCAACCACAGGGCAGGAGAGGCCUCCACACACGCAGAGGUCAGAGGGAUUUGCUUACUGAAGACUGACAAAAAGUCACACAGCUUUGUGUAAGAAUCUGCAAGGGAGUCUGACGGAGGAGUCCCGGACCUCACCAGACGGGCCUCCAAAUUACUGUUCUCGGGGCAGCUGUUUGAGGAGGAAGAAAGGUUGGUGGUAAUUCGUCGAUGGCUGGGUUGGGUGGGGACAUCGGUGGGGUUCAGGGACCGGGGCGGGGCGGGGAGGGGGGCACCGCGGGUACGUUGAGCUCCUGAAGUUACAUUUGUGCGGAGCAGCCUUCUGAGGGAAGGACGGACAGCGUCCACCUCCGGGCCCGGAAGGGGCCUCAGACCCACUGUGUAAGGGGCGCCGUCCGAUACAAUGGCCGCUCACUCAUCUCCGUGUAGGCGGGCUGGGGCAGGGAGCUGUCACGGGACGGAGCACUGGUCUCAGCGCCUGGGAGUCAUGGGGUAUGUGGAGUAGAUUCGGACAACCCGAGCCCUGCCUGCAGCCGGGAAGGCGGAAAGUCCCUAACGGCUUGUUUUAAGUCAAGGCAAAAGAGGGUGUUGUUAUUAACACCGACACCGGAAGCAGACCCCACCUGGGAGUCCAGGAAUCCAAGCCAGGAAACGGGGUGUCUGAGUGAGGGGUAGUUUCAGACCGACCGGUAAAAGACCUUAGUCGAUAAACUCUUCUCCCCCUGAAAGGGGAAAAGCAUCUACCAAAGGGCGCCCUCUGCCGGUGCACGGGCUGUGAUCCCAGGGGUGGCCCUGACCUUCCGCAGGCAGGCCGUGUGAGCGACCAGCUCUAAGGGUUGGAUCAAAUGACAGUUGCACACGUCACAGCUUGAACCCCCAGCCCCUCCUGUGGGUACAGGGAGACCCCGCCGGGCUGGGUUGGACAGAUAAAGCCGUAUUUGACAAGCCGGCGCCCCUCAGGGCCAGAGCCAUAAGGGACCACAAAGUUACAGGACCGUGGCAGGUGCCCAGAGAAGAGUUCUGCACCGCCCUUGGAGAGAGGACAGAGUGCGAGAUCCCACAGGACAGGGCAGCCCCGUGUCACAGGUGAACAUGGUGGUCGGUCGUCCCCUCUCCCCCCUCGGGAGACAGAAUGUGCAAGGACCUAUAGGACUCCUCCACGAUGACGUGAUGGGACGGAGAGAAUGGCGUCCACCAGGACUGCAGAGGUUGAAGAAGGCUGAGCGGCCGGAGGAGGAGACAAGCAGUCAGAGUGCGGAGGCUGGACCGCCCGUGAGGAGGGCCACUUGUCGGGCGGGGUCGCCCUGGCACCGAGGCGGUCAGGCACGCGGGCAGCCCCCCUCCCCCCCUGCCCUGCCGCGGCCUCCAGAUGCCGCUGGGGUCACCGCACCAGCUGGUGGAUUAGCCCAGGCGAGCACUUCUGCGGGGUGCACACGGGGCACCCGUGCAACGCGCGUACCUGGGGUCCGCAGCGGAGAAGCCACGGGCAGGACAGCGAGGCUGCGGACCUCAAACAUUACCGGUCUGACGGCCUGUGGUCGUCUCGGGCUGUGAAAGAGGGAUUCAGGCCAAGUUCAAUCAAGUUCACGUCUGCGUUACAUUGAAGAUGACGUUCCAAGAGGCGCUGGAGGAGAUAAACUCCCGGCAUUGGUUUUUCAGUGUCACACGUGUCAUUCAUCGGGGUGCGAGGGCUUUUAUGUUGGAGAGGAGCUCAAAAGGCGCCUGCUUACCAUCCCCCCUCCCCUGCAGCCAAGCCUUCAGCGGGGACUGAGCUGACGUCCUCCCUCCUCCCUCCAUGGCCGCUCCUCCCCGCUGGGGACAUGACCCCAGACAGACCGGCUCCUCAGGAACCACAUAUGGGAAUGGAAUCAAAUUUCCCAGAACCUCGUAAACAACCACUUCUCUGUCUCUCCUCACCCAGAGUUCGUGACUCUGCCCAGCAAGCAUCUCCCUUGGUCUUUUCUCCUUAGUUUGAAUUUGACUCUGUCCAGAAGAAUCUCGGUUUCUCCCUCAGAGGCUUUGUCACAGAACCUGUCCGCCUUGCCUCAGUCCACUUGUCAUACGUCCCCAGGCC
Molecule: long non-coding RNA, 2136 nt
Organism: Lynx canadensis (Canada lynx)
Lineage: Eukaryota; Metazoa; Chordata; Mammalia; Carnivora; Felidae
Exons: 2
Source: RefSeq, a predicted model, not a curated record